Molecule: long non-coding RNA, 2637 nt
Filed under: Theobroma cacao (cacao)
Lineage: Eukaryota; Viridiplantae; Streptophyta; Magnoliopsida; Malvales; Malvaceae
Description: long non-coding RNA (TCAC_LNC000350)
Source: RNAcentral
AUAAUCAAAAUUAUUUAAAUACUAUAGAUUCAAGAUAAUUUCAUUUCAAUUAAAUAUAAAACAUAAAGCAUAUAAAAAAAUAUACUCAAGUUAAUUUUCUCUUAUAUAAUCAAGAUUAAUAAAAAAUGAUACAUUGAUGAAAUUUUGUCACGACUUGGUACUCUCCUCAAGCCCGUGACAACCGCCGCGACGUCCCGGUAGAUAUUCGUUACCCGGAGUGUCAACCGGAACCCCGCAAGGCUUUAGUACCAUUUUUUUUUCAUCUCCCCUGUGAGUAAUCAUCGCCAAACCUCGUUUUUAAAGAAUUUUAAGCUUUUUCCCUUUCAAAAUCGUGGAAAAAUAAUUUUCGCCUCACAGAGGCGUUUUCGUCAUUUUUCCUUGAAAUUUUCAAAACCCUACUAAAGAUGUAGUAGAUGAGUGGAAAACACAUAUUUCAUGAUUUAAAAUAAAUUUGGGUGUCUAAAACAUUUAUUAAAAAUGAUAUUGCAACUAUUUGAAUAAAAUAAAAAUAUUCAAUAAAAUAUUCUAAUUUCUUGUAAAACAAUAUUUAUAGAGUCAUCGGUAAAUAAUUUUUUGUAAUGUAAAAGCUAAAUAAAUUCAUACGUACUAUAAUACAGAUAAUUGGGAUAUGAAAUUUACUUUACAGUGACUCGUGGGCUCACAAGGAACAAAAGUGUACAAAGGCAGUAAACCUACAGUUUUUGUAGUAAAGUCGACUAUAAUCCCUGACGAUAUCUGCUAUCCACAGGCUACCUCAGGCCUGAAAUGGUNCUCGUGGGCUUACAAGGAACAAAAGUGCACAAAGGCAGUAAACCUACAAUUUUUGUAGUAGUAAAGCCGUCUAUAAUCUUUGACGAUAUCUACUAUCCACAGGCUACCUCGGGCCUGAAAUGGUUGAAAAAGAGGGUGGUGAGAUUAUAAAAUCCCAGUGAGUAAACAACUACCAUCUAAAUCAUCUAAAGUCGAGUAAAUAGAGACAGAUAAAACAGUUUAACAUACUGAAAUUCAUCACCUUUCAACUUGUUUCAACCAAAUAAAAUCAAUUCAUAUAAAUCGAGUAAUUAACAUGGCUUAUGAAUUUCUUAAGACUUUGGCUCGUGCCAAAAUCAUUAUCAUACUCAGUCAUCAGGGAUACCUUGGCCGAGGGCUAUCCCAAACCGAGUCCGCUAAGGUUGUUAAAAAGUUAUGUACGCAUAAAUCAUAUUUUUAUUUUAAAAAUAUAGCAGUUCCUUGGCGUUAGCGGAAUUCAUCAUCACGAUGUGGUUUGGCAUGAAGUGAACUCUAAAGUUAUACCUCGGGAGUUACCCUACUCGCCUUUCCAACCGAGGUAAGAAUAUAACCAGGUUCCGUGCCUCUCUAAUAGGCUAGUCCACAGAAUCAGCCCACUGCAGCAAGCUAAACCCACAAUACAAUAAAAUUUAAUAGCAUGACAUGACAAUUUUAUCAUUAUCCAACCUAGCAAGACAAACAACAAUUUAUAUAUUUCAACACAAAUACCAAUUCAACCAUUCAUGCCAAUAUUAUCAUAAGCCAUUCAAUUCAAACCAUGAUUUAUAAACACAGUAAUUAGUCUCCAAUUACUCCAUUUUCAAAACCAUCUUUCAAUUUCAAGAUAAUUUUAUAAAAUCAUUUCAUUAAAUCACAUUUUAGUUACAAAACACAAAGAUUUACCAUUUAACUUAUUUUCCAUAAAAUCACAAAAUCGGAUAAAAACCAUUUUAGAUAAUUAAGAUGAUAGUAAGGUUACUCACAGUACUAGGAGUUCGAUAUACUCCUAUUCCCGAUCUUCGGGCACAAUCUCUAUACCCUUGUUAGAGGGCUCACCACCUAUACAUCAUACGUGACACGAAUUUCAAUAAAUUGUGUCAAUUUAUCAUAAACCAUUUCAGGCUCUAUAAAUCUAUAUGAAUGCACGAAAUGUGAUGCAAAAUGUCCAAAUAGCCGUUUAAAUACGGUAUUCGACCUAAUUCGUACUAUUCUUGGUGUAAUUGGCUAAAACCUCUAAUUUAACUCCAAAUCGAUUUCUUUCACUUUCUACACUCCAAUUAUACUUAAAAUACCUCAAUGACUAUGAAUAUGAUUCAAUUUAUCAGUCCGAACCAUAAAUUGCACAUGUCUAUACAUUAGAUAAAAAUUUAGAUUUUCAUGCCAAAAUUUCCCAUUAAAUUUCUAGCCUCACCAAUCAUUAAAUACCACUAAAAUAUCAUGAAAUAUCAUCAAUUUCAGCCUCAAUAUCCUCCCUAGAAAAUUCGGCCUCUUGUGGGUUUGUGAAGAACAAAGUGAUUAUUUGCUAGAUUUUCAUACUUUCCAUUACCAAACAACCAAAAACACUUAAUUAGCUUGAAAUCUAACAAAAUCAAUGCUCAAAACCUCUCCUCUCAAAUUCAGCCAGCAUGGGUUCAUCAUGCAAACUUGAGUUCUAAGCAUGAAAAAUGAACAAGAAAGCAUGGGUAGUGUAAAUCACAAUAUAAAAUAACAAAAUUUUACCUUUAUUAGCUUAAUUCCUUGAAAUCCAACACUUUUUCUUCAAUUUUCCCACCUAGGGUUUGUGUUCUUUCCUUUCCUCUUCACUUCAUGCUUUGAUCGGCCAUAUGGGUGAGACUAAGAGAGUUUUAAAUAGAUUUUACAAGGAAAUUC